GCUGGGCGAGGUGGCGCACGCCUGUGAUCCCAGCAGCUCAGGAGGCUGAGGCAGGAGGAUCAGGAAUUCCAAGCCAGCCUCAG
Molecule: small RNA, 83 nt
Filed under: Marmota monax (woodchuck)
Lineage: Eukaryota; Metazoa; Chordata; Mammalia; Rodentia; Sciuridae
Source: RNAcentral